GGGUUAAACUAUAACAAAAUAAUAUUGAUUUCACCAACCUAGUGUCUUUGUCAGCUCUCAGCACUCCAGUGUUUAGUCAGCCUGCUGCUUCCAGCUCUUCAAGAGAGAAAACAAACAUUCUCCCCUUACCUGCCUAGCAGGGAGGGGUUUAUUCCCACUGCUGCAGCUGAUUACCUGCAGCUGAGCAGUGGGUUGGAGACAGUCCAAAAACCCUGGCCUGGAUCUAUGACUCCCAAG
This is a non-coding RNA of Pelobates cultripes (western spadefoot toad), 237 nucleotides long. Lineage: Eukaryota; Metazoa; Chordata; Amphibia; Anura; Pelobatidae. The record is from the annotation of a GenBank genome assembly.